AAAAAUGUCCCGCGUUAACGACCUGGGAUGAUUCUCAGAGAGUUACAAGAGACAGGGAUGGGAGAAGCACGUAUGAAGCAGAAACAGAUCCCAAUGGACAUCAUUCAACCAUCAAUUGACAAAAACAAUUAAACUCUUUGGCAAGCUCCAUAGGUGGGACUUGAAACCAGACCUUCUGGCUGAGAGCAAAUUCGCUUCAAUAUCAACAAAUUUGACAGACGAACAACAGAAAAUGCGACGCUCACUAAUGCACA
This is a long non-coding RNA of Hemiscyllium ocellatum (epaulette shark), 254 nucleotides long. RefSeq lists it as uncharacterized. NCBI's taxonomy places the organism in Eukaryota, Metazoa, Chordata, Chondrichthyes, Orectolobiformes, Hemiscylliidae. The transcript has 3 exons. The record is from RefSeq and is a predicted model, not a curated record.